This 493-nucleotide ribosomal RNA is filed under the name uncultured bacterium. RNAcentral's name for it is "partial 16S ribosomal RNA". It matches the Rfam family "Bacterial small subunit ribosomal RNA", at positions 30 to 523 of the family's 1533-position model. The record is from RNAcentral.
AUUGAACGCUGGCGGCAUGCUUUACACAUGCAAGUCGAACGGUAACAGGUUAAGCUGACGAGUGGCGAACGGGUGAGUAAUGCAUCGGAACGUGCCCGAACGUGGGGGAUAACGCAGCGAAAGCUGCGCUAAUACCGCAUACGAUCUGAGGAUGAAAUCGGGGGACCGUAAGGCCUCGCGCGAACGGAUCGGCCGAUGUCAGAUUAGGUAGUUGGUGGGGUAAAGGCUCACCAAGCCAACGAUCUGUAGCUGGUCUGAGAGGACGACCAGCCACACUGGGACUGAGACACGGCCCAGACUCCUACGGGAGGCAGCAGUGGGGAAUUUUGGACAAUGGGCGAAAGCCUGAUCCAGCAAUGCCGCGUGCAGGAAGAAGGCCUUCGGGUUGUAAACUGCUUUUGUACGGAGCGAAAAGGCUCUCUCUAAUACAGGGGGCUCAUGACGGUACCGUAAGAAUAAGCACCGGCUAACUACGUGCCAGCAGCCGCCGUAA